Molecule: ribosomal RNA, 315 nt
Filed under: uncultured bacterium
Lineage: Bacteria
Description: bacterial SSU rRNA
Rfam family: Bacterial small subunit ribosomal RNA
Source: RNAcentral
GAUGAACGCUAGCGGCAGGCUUAACACAUGCAAGUCGAGGGGCAGCAUGGGGAGUAGCAAUACUCUCUGAUGGCGACCGGCGCAAGGGUGCGUAACGCGUGAGCAACUUGCCCUCAUCAGGGGAAUAAUCGCUGGAAACGGCGUCUAAUGCCCCAUGGCGAUGGAAUCAGGCAUCUGGUUCCAUCUAAAGAUCCGUCGGAUGAGGAUAGGCUCGCGUGACAUUAGCUUGACGGCGGGGUAACGGCCCACCGUGGCGACGAUGUCUAGGGGUUCUGAGAGGAAGGCCCCCCACACUGGUACUGAGACACGGACCAG